UUUUAUGGCAGGCUGGAUAGGGCAGUCUUCGGACUGGCCGUUUCCUUUGUAGCGGUAUUUCCACCCCUGUUCAGUCUGUCACCAUU
Molecule: non-coding RNA, 86 nt
Filed under: Acinetobacter baumannii
Lineage: Bacteria; Pseudomonadati; Pseudomonadota; Gammaproteobacteria; Moraxellales; Moraxellaceae
Source: RNAcentral